GACGAACGCUGGCGGCGUGCUUAACACAUGCAAGUCGAACGGAAAGGCCCUGCUUUUGUGGGGUGCUCGAGUGGCGAACGGGUGAGUAACACGUGAGUAACCUGCCCUUGACUUUGGGAUAACUUCAGGAAACUGGGGCUAAUACCGGAUAGGAGCUCCUGCUGCAUGGUGGGGGUUGGAAAGUUUCGGCGGUUGGGGAUGGACUGGCGGCUUAUCAGCUUGUUGGUGGGGUAGUGGCUUACCAAGGCUUUGACGGGUAGCCGGCCUGGGAGGGUGACCGGCCACGUUGGGACUGAGAGACGGCCCAGACUCCUACGGGAGGCAGCAGUGGGGAAUAUUGCACAAUGGGCGGAAGCCUGAUGCAGCAACGCCGCGUGCGGGAUGACGGCCUUCGGGUUGUAAACCGCUUUCGCCUGUGACGAAGCGUGAGUGACGGUAAUGGGUAAAGAAGCACCGGCUAACUACGUG
Molecule: ribosomal RNA, 468 nt
Filed under: uncultured bacterium
Lineage: Bacteria
Description: partial 16S ribosomal RNA
Rfam family: Bacterial small subunit ribosomal RNA
Source: RNAcentral